AGAACAAACAUGAUAAAUUUUGGCUAAGUGGAAAGAAAGAAAAAACAUGAUUAUUAUAGAAUUAUAUAUAAGAAAAGCGAAGAUAAAAUGAGAGAUAUUAAGAAGUUAUUAUUAUUGGGAUUUUUUGUGUUUGUAUAUAUACGCAUUUUAAAAUAUACAGCUGAUUAUUUAAUGGAUAAUAGAAAUGUAUAAUGAGAGUUCUUCAUUAUGAUUAAAGUAGGGGAAUGAAAAAUUAUUAAAUUACCUAGACUGAGGGGAUAUACCACGUCAAUCCUAAAUAUAUUAGUUUUAUUUUAUUUUUACUCUUUUUAGAUUGUUUAUUAU
Pseudonaja textilis is the source of this 324-nucleotide non-coding RNA. Lineage: Eukaryota; Metazoa; Chordata; Lepidosauria; Squamata; Elapidae. The record is from RefSeq and is a predicted model, not a curated record.